RNAcentral lists this ribosomal RNA (223 nucleotides) under uncultured bacterium. RNAcentral's name for it is "partial 16S ribosomal RNA". It matches the Rfam family "Bacterial small subunit ribosomal RNA", at positions 524 to 746 of the family's 1533-position model. The record is from RNAcentral.
UACGUAGGGUGCAAGCGUUGUCCGGAAUUAUUGGGCGUAAAGAGCUCGUAGGCGGUCUGUCGCGUCUGCUGUGAAAACUCAGGGCUUAACCCUGAGCUUGCAGUGGGUACGGGCAGACUAGAGUGCGGUAGGGGAGACUGGAAUUCCUGGUGUAGCGGUGAAAUGCGCAGAUAUCAGGAGGAACACCGGUGGCGAAGGCGGGUCUCUGGGCCGAUACUGACGC